CUGCAGCUCUUAAUGUGAAAGUACCUACCGGAAGUGAAUAUUGUAUGUAAAUUCUCCAGCUUAUUAGAGUAGCUGUAGUUACCAUCUGAGUCCACUUCUACGGAGCCCCCUACGGGACAUGGGGAAUUUUUUUUCUUUUGCGUUCCCUCGCAAAACUGUACUGAUCAGUUAUGCGGCAUAAUUGAAUACUGUAAGUCUUUCUUACGGUGGCCGCCGUACUUUCUGCUUUAAUAUAAGGUUAUGUAAGGUUCCAUGUAUGUUAAUAUCUCGUUGUGAAAUAUCUGGAGUUUUAUAUCUUUCUUUAGGAUAGAAAGGCACCACAAACCUAUGAUACAAACAGAAACCUUCCGUAAGUAGGAAAGAAAUAAAAAUACAUCCAAACUAUAUUUCUGAGUUAUUAUCGCGGCGUAAUAAGUCAUCUGACAGUUUUGAUUGUGUCGCUGUUGUGCUGGUUGUCUGAAUGGUUUAAAGAGCUGCUUUCAUGUUCAGUUCCAUCUUAACCUUAACAGACAUAAACAUGCAGUGAAUAAAUCGAUUUUCAAUCAGUUUUUUACACCAAAAACUUUAUAAUAAUAAACACGUUUUAUUAUUUAAAAACACGACAAAGUAAUUAUGGUAAAGGGCCGUAUUGGGUGAACUCGGGAAAUCUCAUCUGUCCGUGUAUCAAUUAACUCCAAACCACUUCUUUGUUCUGUCACAUUUAUCGAUUUAUUCCAUUUUGAUUAUCAUGCUCCAAACUUUGCAAGGACUGACCGCCCCGCUCACCACUUCCUCAUACACACAAACCAGCAGGCCAGUAACCUUCCCAUUCAUACUUAAUGACGUCACUCCCACAUCGACACACCCACCACCCAAGUGUCAAAGUCGCGUGCUCCUGUCAUAUCAAUAAUUACUUAUUUCACUCAUAAGGCUCUUACAGAGCCUCAGUGAAAACGUGUAAUAAAAGAAAAGGCCUUCCAGUAACUGUGGGUGCAUCAGCGCCACCUCCUCCACACACACAUCUCUACCUCACCAACUUGCAACACAAAGUUACACCCUUGCAUUCAAAUAAUGAUAUAUGUCACAUUUUUUAUUUUUUCUGCAUAAUGUGCAUUGCAUGUAUUCUAACGUUGGGCAAACGUAUCUUGAACGAGAAUAUUAAAGAAAAGUGCAAGAAGUAAUAAAAACUUUAACGUUAAUCCUCACCUUCCGUUUCCAGCUUCUCUCCUAACCGUACAGGUGAGAGCUUCUAUGAUUGUCCUGUAGGUGGCGGUAAAUACACUUGAAGUUGGUUUGCCAGCCGCCAGUAACACCCAGAAGAAGAUCAACACUGGUUUUGUAUUUCAUUUGAAACUGAUCUGCUUUGCUCGUUCAGAGUUUCAGGAUGAACUGAGGAUAAUCUGCCACUGUUUCUCCAUCCCUCCUGGUUCUGGUUCCGGUCCUGGUUCUGGUCCUGGUCCUGGUUCUGGUCCUGGUCCUGGUCCUUCAUCCCUCCUGUCGGUUCUGUUCGGUCCGUUUGUCCUCAUCAUGGUGGUUUUGUUUAGUCCAGUUGUCUGCAACCUGUACAAUCUAGAGACAUUUUAUUUUAUUUUUAUUUUCCAGUUUAAUAAAUCGGGUCCAAAGCCACAAAA
This is a long non-coding RNA of Gambusia affinis (western mosquitofish), 1610 nucleotides long. RefSeq lists it as uncharacterized. NCBI's taxonomy places the organism in Eukaryota, Metazoa, Chordata, Actinopteri, Cyprinodontiformes, Poeciliidae. The record is from RefSeq and is a predicted model, not a curated record. The transcript has 2 exons.